GCCCCAUUGGCGCAGUCGGUUAGCGCGUCGUACUUAUAAUGCGAAGGUCAGCAGUUCGAGCCUGCUAUGGGGCA
Molecule: transfer RNA, 74 nt
Filed under: Brugia malayi
Lineage: Eukaryota; Metazoa; Nematoda; Chromadorea; Rhabditida; Onchocercidae
Description: tRNA-Ile
Rfam family: tRNA
About the family: Transfer RNA (tRNA) molecules are approximately 80 nucleotides in length. Their secondary structure includes four short double-helical elements and three loops (D, anti-codon, and T loops).
Source: RNAcentral